RNAcentral lists this ribosomal RNA (504 nucleotides) under uncultured bacterium. Its description in RNAcentral is "partial 16S ribosomal RNA". It matches the Rfam family "Bacterial small subunit ribosomal RNA", at positions 30 to 523 of the family's 1533-position model. The record is from RNAcentral.
AUUGAACGCUGGCGGCAUGCCUUACACAUGCAAGUCGAACGGCAGCAUGGAGAGCUUGCUCUCUGAUGGCGAGUGGCGAACGGGUGAGUAAUGCAUCGGAACGUACCGUGUAAUGGGGGAUAACGUAGCGAAAGUUACGCUAAUACCGCAUACGACCUGAGGGUGAAAGCAGGGGAUCGCAAGACCUUGCGUUAUACGAGCGGCCGAUGUCAGAUUAGCUAGUUGGUGAGGUAAAGGCUCACCAAGGCGACGAUCUGUAGCGGGUCUGAGAGGAUGAUCCGCCACACUGGGACUGAGACACGGCCCAGACUCCUACGGGAGGCAGCAGUGGGGAAUUUUGGACAAUGGGGGCAACCCUGAUCCAGCCAUGCCGCGUGAGUGAAGAAGGCCUUCGGGUUGUAAAGCUCUUUCGGCCGGGAAGAAAUCGCACAGGCUAAUACUCUGUGUGGAUGACGGUACCUGCAGAAUAAGCACCGGCUAACUACGUGCCAGCAGCCGCCGUAA